Long non-coding RNA from Cervus elaphus (red deer), 692 nucleotides. RefSeq lists it as uncharacterized. Lineage: Eukaryota; Metazoa; Chordata; Mammalia; Artiodactyla; Cervidae. The transcript is spliced from 3 exons. The record is from RefSeq and is a predicted model, not a curated record.
CGCGCUUCCCUGGGCUUUCACAGGAGCGCGGAGGAUGUCUUCUUACAGGUUUUAUAGUGAGUUUCCGAGUUCUGAGACUUCGUUUCAGUGGGUUUGGCAGCCUUUUCAGCAGGAAAGGCGUCGCUGUCAGAGACCAGGAGGUGCGAAUCUGCUGUCUGGCUGGGAACUAACAUCCCACAUGCAGUGCUGUGCAGUCAAAAAGAAAGGAAGAUGGAUGGAAGAGAGAGGGAGAGGGAGAGAGAGAGAGAGGAACCAAAGGAAGAAGAGGCAGUGUCCUGUACAAAGCGUUGAGGGCAUUUACCAGUGAAGGAUGUCCUCUGUGGCUGCCACUAAAGUGGUACUGAUGUUUUAGAAGACGAAAUGAACGUCUGGUGUCGGCUACACUCAGGAGCCCCAGAUAGUGUGAGGGUAGAAUUACUGCCGCCCCCAGUCCCUCCUCUUCAUCAGCUCUGGGAUCCAGCCCUCAGCUGCUCUGAGCUCCUGCUGCCUCCUUCCUCCUCAUCCUGCCUCGAUGACCUCUUCCCUGCUCCCAGGAGGGCAGUCACCAUUCGUGCCUGACUCUUCUGGAAUGCACAUCUCCAAGCACAUUGUCACCUAUGUGUGUGUGGUCAGCACACUUUGGUGACAGAAUAAAGAAACUGUAUGAAUUGACCCAUUUUCCGUAUUAUGUCACUGUUAUCUGUAGACCAUCA